GACGAACGCGGCGGCGUGCCUAAUACAUGCAAGUAGAACGCACAGGAUGCACCGUAGUUUACUACACCGUAUUCUUUGAGUUGCGAACGGGUGAGUAACGCGUAGGUAACCUGCCUGGUAGCGGGGGAUAACUAUUGGAAACGAUAGCUAAUACCGCAUAAGAACAUUUACUGCAUGGUAGAUGUUUAAAAGGUGCAAAUGCAUCACUACCAGAUGGACCUGCGUUGUAUUAGCUAGUAGGUGAGGUAACGGCUCACCUAGGCGACGAUACAUAGCCGACCUGAGAGGGUGAUCGGCCACACUGGGACUGAGACACGGCCCAGACUCCUACGGGAGGCAGCAGUAGGGAAUCUUCGGCAAUGGGGGGGAAACCCCUGACCGAGCAAACGCCCGCGUGAGUGAAAGAAAGGUUUUUCGGGAUUCGUAAAAGGCUUCUGGUGGUAAAGGAAG
This 450-nucleotide ribosomal RNA is filed under the name Streptococcus intermedius. RNAcentral's name for it is "bacterial SSU rRNA". It matches the Rfam family "Bacterial small subunit ribosomal RNA", at positions 28 to 451 of the family's 1533-position model. The record is from RNAcentral. Lineage: Bacteria; Bacillati; Bacillota; Bacilli; Lactobacillales; Streptococcaceae.